This 794-nucleotide ribosomal RNA is filed under the name Paracylindrocarpon aloicola. RNAcentral describes it as "eukaryotic LSU rRNA". It matches the Rfam family "Eukaryotic large subunit ribosomal RNA", at positions 76 to 903 of the family's 3401-position model. The record is from RNAcentral. Lineage: Eukaryota; Fungi; Ascomycota; Sordariomycetes; Hypocreales; Bionectriaceae.
UGCCUUAGUAACGGCGAGUGAAGCGGCAACAGCUCAAAUUUGAAAUCUGGCCUUUGGCCCGAGUUGUAAUUUGCAGAGGAUGUUUCUGGCGAGGUGCCUUCCGAGUUCCCUGGAACGGGACGCCAUAGAGGGUGAGAGCCCCGUACGGUUGGUCGCUAAGCCUCUGUGAAACUCCUUCGACGAGUCGAGUAGUUUGGGAAUGCUGCUCUAAAUGGGAGGUAUACGUCUUCUAAAGCUAAAUACCGGCUAGAGACCGAUAGCGCACAAGUAGAGUGAUCGAAAGAUGAAAAGCACUUUGAAAAGAGGGUUAAAUAGUACGUGAAAUUGUUGAAAGGGAAGCGCUUAUGACCAGACUUGGACCGGUUGAUCAUCCAUCGUUCUCGGUGGUGCACUCUGCCGGUUCAGGCCAGCAUCAGUUUGGCUUGGGGGAUAAAGGCUUCGGGAAUGUGGCUCCCUACGGGGAGUGUUAUAGCCCGUUGCGUAAUACCCUGGGCUGGACUGAGGUUCGCGCUCCGCAAGGAUGCUGGCGUAAUGGUCAUCAGUGACCCGUCUUGAAACACGGACCAAGGAGUCGUCUUCGUAUGCGAGUGUUCGGGUGUCAAACCCCUACGCGUAAUGAAAGUGAACGUAGGAGAGAGCUUCGGCGCAUCUCCGACCGAUCCUGAUGUUCUCGGAUGGAUUUGAGUAAGAGCAUACGGGGCCGGACCCGAAAGAAGGUGAACUAUGCCUGUAUAGGGUGAAGCCAGAGGAAACUCUGGUGGAGGCUCGCAGCGGUUCUGACGUGCAAAUCGAUC